This 373-nucleotide ribosomal RNA is filed under the name uncultured eukaryote. RNAcentral describes it as "partial 18S ribosomal RNA". It matches the Rfam family "Eukaryotic small subunit ribosomal RNA", at positions 592 to 976 of the family's 1831-position model. The record is from RNAcentral.
CAAUAGCGUAUAUUUAAGUUGUUGCAGUUAAAAAGCUCGUAGUUGGAUUUCGGUUGAGAACGGCCGGUCCGCCGUUUGGUGUGCACUGGCUGGUUUCAACUUCCUGUAGAGGACGCGCUCUGGCUUCACGGCUGGACGCGGAGUCUACGUGGUUACUUUGAAAAAAUUAGAGUGUUCAAAGCGGGCUUACGCUUGAAUAUUUCAGCAUGGAAUAACACUAUAGGACUCCUGUCCUAUUUCGUUGGUCUCGGGACGGGAGUAAUGAUUAAGAGGAACAGUUGGGGGCAUUCGUAUUUCAUUGUCAGAGGUGAAAUUCUUGGAUUUAUGAAAGACGAACUUCUGCGAAAGCAUUUGUCAAGGAUGUUUUCAUUAA